This 1960-nucleotide unclassified non-coding RNA is filed under the name Nilaparvata lugens (brown planthopper). Its description in RNAcentral is "uncharacterized LOC120354479, transcript variant X3". Lineage: Eukaryota; Metazoa; Arthropoda; Insecta; Hemiptera; Delphacidae. The record is from RNAcentral.
AAGACUAGCUUUAUAUGUGUCCUUACAAGUAGUUCCUUUGGAACACACAGAUAGCAGCAUAUACCACACUUUCAAACGGAUUCCAUCUGAAGUGUCAUGGCCUUCUGAAACGCCUUUAGCUGCUCAUCGAUCAUACAUAUCAUUAUGGAUAUGAACAUUGUAUUAAGAAUUAUGAUUAUGAUGGUGUACUACGGUUACUAUGGUUAUCACUAUAUGAGUCAGCUGCUGGAUUUCAUCGUGAGGAAUUCGAUCCCAGAAUCUGUCUUGAAUAACACCUCAGCUUUGGUCGUGUACCUCCUUCGAAUCUUGAAAGCUGUAUGUUAUUGGUUUGCAUUGACCAGAUGUUUUUUUGUACUGACGGACGAGUAUAUUAAAGAAAACAUUAACCUCAAUCCUGAACCUGAAAUUCGUGAAGUACACUACCCUACAAUGCUUGGUGAUUAGAUGGGAUUCAUUCCAAACUAUCCAGAAUUGGAGAAGGGAGUGGGAGAGAUGAUGUAUUCGGUCCUACGCCUGCGUUCCGACUAUCCGAUCAUACUCCUAUCAAGUUUGAAAUUGCUAAAAAGUUCGUGUGUUUUGUAUUAUUAAGUUGAUUACUAUGAUUUAAAAUUUAUUUUGACUGUGAUAACGAUUGAAAUUGACUGUGAAUAAAAAUUUAGAGUAGGUCUAAUGAUGAUUCAGGGCUUUAUUCAUAAACGAUGCUGAGACUAAAUCUUCGAUUAGCACGAUUAGUAACAAAAACUAGAAUCUAAGAUGACUGACCUAGGACAACAAUCGUACUUUUGCAGUAGGCCUACGAUUCUAGCUAAUCUUAAUUUUAGUCUAAGAUAUGAUAUUUACGGCCCUGAAAUUGCUAUAAGCGUGUACUGUUUUGAGUUGUUGGAAUUUGAGCAUAUCCAAAAAUAUUGUGUCUAUUCCCUGAAAUAUUGAUCCCUUGAAGGCCGGUCUAGAUGCUAAGACCUAUCAACCGAUUUCUUAUAAAUAUAACAAAAACUUGAAUCGUGUGAUAUGGAAAUAGAUAGGGAAUGGAUUCUGAUUUACAAGUCUGGUAUUACAACACAAUAAUUUUCCUAAUCAACUAGAUAUUUUGCGUAGUUAAGGUUGAAAAUCGGACGUUCAGUUCAGCAUCUGUACCAACCUCUAAUUCCAUUCAAAGCAUAUAUAUAUGAACUUUUCCAAUUGAGUUUUUAUCCACUCAAAUAUUUAAACGUUCAGAUGUAAAGGUUUGGUCAAUUUUUAGUUUCGAAAUUGAAGCAUUUCCGGAAUUUCGAUCGAUCAUCAUUCCACGCUUUUGAUGAUUUAGUUCGUUUGUUCCUUAAUUCAGUUGAAUGUUUAAAUCCUUCAAAGCAUAAGUCAGCGUAAGGUACCGUAUCUUGAAUUCAUUUAACGUUACUUUUGUUCCUUAUUAGUAUAUAUUCCGAUUCACUCAUCAAUUAAUUUCAUUUUCUCAUUGCUAAAAAUGUUUAUUUUUUGUAUGUCCAAGAACUUUGUUCGCUCAGUUCAUUUAUUUCCUUUAUAUGUAGUUAAAUGUUUAAAUCGUAAGCGUAAGUCAGUUUCAUAGAUUUAUUUCGCGUUUGUUAUUAUUACGCUUUGUUCUUCAAUGUAGUUAAAUUUUCAAAUUGUUGAAAGCGUUUAUGUCAGACUAACAUUUAAGUAUCUUAGAUUUAUUUCACUUUACUUGGGUUUUGUAUAUGUAUGUUAUUUGUAAGUUUGGAAAUUAGUUCCCUUAGUUCAUUUGUUCCUUAAUGUAGUUAAAUGAUCAAAUCAUUCAAAGCUUCAGUCAAAGUUUUUUUAAUUUGUUUCACGUUACGUGUUUCUUAAUAAAAUAUAUGUUUCGAUUCACUCAUGAAUCCAUUCAUUUGUUUGAAACUUGAAAAAUGUAUAUUAUUUGUAAGACUGAGAACUCAGCCACAACUUUUCUGUUUGUUCCUUAAUGUUCAAAGUCAAAUGUUUAAAACGU